UUCUUUACUUCAAGAUGUUUCAAAAUGCAAGUUCAGUUUGAGUGUUGCUUUUUGAUUGUCAACACUUUGCUUCUAUGUCUAAAGCUUGCAUGGUCCUAUAAUGUGAACCAUUUAGUUCUUCUUUAAUGUGUGAUAGUCCUUUAUUUCAUGAUCAUUCUGAUGCUCUCUAUCGCAGCCUCCUGUGCAUCCAGUUGAUGAGUAUGGUGCACUCAUCUAUGCUGGACGAUGGGGCGUCCAUGGGAUUUCUCUUCCAGGGAGGGUUACUUUUGCUCCAGGAAAUGUGGGGUUUUCAACCUUUGGUGCACCCCGCCCUCUCGAGACACAAAUCAUUAGCGAUGAGACUUGGAAACUAAUAGAUGGCAUAUGGGAUAAAAGGAUCCAGGAAAUUAAGAAUGAAGUUUCUAUAGAGAUUGAGGAAGAUAUGGAGAAACCACAGCUUUUGAUGGCAGAUCACUUCCUUUGAAAAUUUCAGUAUUUACAUUUUUGGGGUGGGAUACAGCUUGAUUUGGAUGGUGGAUGAUGCCCCAAAAAAUACAAAAGAAGAUUUGGUUGGUGAAUAUACAUUUCUUUCCAUCCAGAAAGGCU
Telopea speciosissima is the source of this 585-nucleotide long non-coding RNA. RefSeq lists it as uncharacterized. The transcript is spliced from 4 exons. NCBI's taxonomy places the organism in Eukaryota, Viridiplantae, Streptophyta, Magnoliopsida, Proteales, Proteaceae. The record is from RefSeq and is a predicted model, not a curated record.